CAACCUGCCCACCACUUGGGGAUAACCUUGCGAAAGUAAGACUAAUACCCAAUGAUAUCUCUAGAAGACAUCUGAAAGGGAUUAAAGAUUCAUCGGUGAUGGAUGGGGAUGCGUCUGAUUAGCUUGUUGGCGGGGUAACGGCCCACCAAGGCGACGAUCAGUAGGGGUUCUGAGAGGAAGGUCCCCCACAUUGGAACUGAGACACGGUCCAAACUCCUACGGGAGGCAGCAGUGAGGAAUAUUGGUCAAUGGGCGAGAGCCUGAACCAGCCAAGUAGCGUGCAGGAAGACGGCCCUAUGGGUUGUAAACUGCUUUUAUAAGGGAAUAAAGUGAGCCUCGUGAGGCUUUUUGCAUGUACCUUAUGAAUAAGGACCGGCUAAUUCCGUGCCAGCAGCCGCGGUAAUACGGAAGGUCCGGGCGUUAUCCGGAUUUAUUGGGUUUAAAGGGAGCGUAGGCCGGAGAUUAAGCGUGUUGUGAAAUGUAGACGCUCAACGUCUGCACUGCAGCGCGAACUGGUUUUCUUGAGUACGCACAAAGUGGGCGGAAUUCGUGGUGUAGCGGUGAAAUGCUUAGAUAUCACGAAGAACUCCGAUUG
Molecule: ribosomal RNA, 595 nt
Filed under: uncultured Bacteroidota bacterium
Lineage: Bacteria; Pseudomonadati; Bacteroidota
Description: bacterial SSU rRNA
Rfam family: Bacterial small subunit ribosomal RNA
Source: RNAcentral